Molecule: ribosomal RNA, 253 nt
Filed under: uncultured prokaryote
Description: partial 16S ribosomal RNA
Rfam family: Bacterial small subunit ribosomal RNA
Source: RNAcentral
ACGUAGGGUGCGAGCGUUAAUCGGAAUUACUGGGCGUAAAGUGUGCGCAGGCGGCCGAGCAAGUCGAGUGUGAAAUCCCCGGGCUCAACCUGGGAAUGGCGAUGGAUACUGGCGAGCUAGAGUGUGUCAGAGGAUGGUGGAAUUCCCGGUGUAGCGGUGAAAUGCGUAGAGAUCGGGAGGAACAUCAGUGGCGAAGGCGGCCAUCUGGGACAACACUGACGCUGAAGCACGAAAGCGUGGGGAGCAAACAGGA